UACGGAGGGGGCUAGCGUUGUUCGGAAUUACUGGGCGUAAAGGGCGCGUAGGCGGAUCUUUAAGUCGGGGGUGAAAGCCUGAGGCUCAACCUCAGAAUUGCCUUCGAUACUGGAGAUCUUGAGACCGGAAGAGGUAAGUGGAACUGCGAGUGUAGAGGUGAAAUUCGUAGAUAUUCGCAAGAACACCAGUGGCGAAGGCGGCUUACUGGUCCGGUUCUGACGCUGAGGCGCGAAAGCGUGGGGAGCAAACAGG
This 253-nucleotide ribosomal RNA is filed under the name uncultured bacterium. Its description in RNAcentral is "partial 16S ribosomal RNA". It matches the Rfam family "Bacterial small subunit ribosomal RNA", at positions 524 to 776 of the family's 1533-position model. The record is from RNAcentral.